UACGGAGGGUGCAAGCGUUAAUCGGAAUUACUGGGCGUAAAGCGCGCGUAGGCGGUUAUGUAAGUUGGAUGUGAAAGCCCCGGGCUUAACCUGGGAAUUGCAUUCAAUACUGCAUAGCUAGAGUCUGGGAGAGGGAAGGGGAAUUCCGGGUGUAGCGGUGAAAUGCGUAGAUAUCCGGAGGAACACCAGUGGCGAAGGCGCCUUCCUGGCCUAAGACUGACGCUGAGGUGCGAAAGCGUGGGGAGCAAACAGG
This 253-nucleotide unclassified non-coding RNA is filed under the name uncultured Gammaproteobacteria bacterium. RNAcentral's name for it is "contains 16S-23S intergenic spacer region". It matches the Rfam family "Bacterial small subunit ribosomal RNA", at positions 524 to 776 of the family's 1533-position model. Lineage: Bacteria; Pseudomonadati; Pseudomonadota; Gammaproteobacteria. The record is from RNAcentral.